Non-coding RNA from Paramuricea clavata, 346 nucleotides. The record is from the annotation of a GenBank genome assembly. Lineage: Eukaryota; Metazoa; Cnidaria; Anthozoa; Malacalcyonacea; Plexauridae.
UUUAAAAAUAAUUCUAUGCAUUCUCAUGCUUAUUUAAUCGAGCCUUUGGUUUAGGUAAGUUUAAGGUUUGUAUUUACUUCGGACCAGUUAACAAAACUCAAGCCCAUGCCCUUUCAGUUAAGGUUUUACAUUUCGAACCAGAAUCCAAAACUCAGUCUAAGUGGGUUAUAGGACAGCUAGUGAUAACGUAAUUUAUCUUUUUAUUUUGCUUUUUUGUUUAUAACGUAAUUUAUUAGCUAAAUGUAUGGAGUGCGAGAGUGUGCGCCGUGUGUAUAGGAUGCAUGGGGUUAGGUUAAACUAAAGGAAUUAAAAUUUUGAGAGCAUAUUUAAAGACGAAAUAUCUUUU